GCCUCAGCCACACCCCUCACA
RNAcentral lists this microRNA (21 nucleotides) under Ovis aries (sheep). RNAcentral describes it as "miRNA 12". Lineage: Eukaryota; Metazoa; Chordata; Mammalia; Artiodactyla; Bovidae. The record is from RNAcentral.